This 876-nucleotide ribosomal RNA is filed under the name uncultured bacterium. Its description in RNAcentral is "bacterial SSU rRNA". It matches the Rfam family "Bacterial small subunit ribosomal RNA", at positions 21 to 902 of the family's 1533-position model. The record is from RNAcentral.
GGCUCAGGACGAACGCGGCCGGCGUGCUUAACACAUGCAAGUCGAGCGGGUACCUAUUUGGUGGCAACACCUUGUAGGUGCUAGCGGCGAACGGGUGAGUAACGCGUGAGCAACCUGCCCUGAAGACGGGGAUAACAGCCGGAAACGGCUGCUAAUACCCGAUGUCUCUGUCGAGUCGCAUGGCUUGUCAAAGAAAUGGAUUCCGCUUCAGGAGGGGCUCGCGGCCUAUCAGCUUGUUGGUGAGGUAACGGCUCACCAAGGCGUCGACGGGUAGCUGGUCUGAGAGGACGACCAGCCACACUGGGACUGAGACACGGCCCAGACUCCUACGGGAGGCAGCAGUGGGGAAUCUUGCGCAAUGGGCGAAAGCCUGACGCAGCAACGCCGCGUGGGGGACGAAGGCUCUCGGGUUGUAAACCCCUUUCAGCAGGAACAAAAUUGACGGUACCUGCAGAAGAAGCCCCGGCCAACUACGUGCCAGCAGCCGCGGUAAUACGUAGGGGGCGAGCGUUGUCCGGAUUCAUUGGGCGUAAAGAGCUCGUAGGCGGUUUGGUAAGUCGGGUGUGAAAACCCCAGGCUCAACCUGGGGACGCCGCCUGAUACUGCCAUGACUUGAGUCUGGUAGGGGAUCACGGAAUUCCUGGUGUAGCGGUGAAAUGCGCAGAUAUCAGGAGGAACACCGGUGGCGAAGGCGGUGAUCUGGGCCAGUACUGACGCUGAGGAGCGAAAGCGUGGGUAGCAAACAGGAUUAGAUACCCUGGUAGUCCACGCCGUAAACGUUGGGCACUAGGUGUGGGGGGACGUCAACUCCUUCCGUGCCGCAGCUAACGCAGUAAGUGCCCCGCCUGGGGGAGUACGGCCGCAAGGCUAAAACUC